GACGAACGCUGGCGGCGUGCCUAAUACAUGCAAGUUGAGCGCUGAAGGUUGGUACUUGUACCAACUGGAUGAGCAGCGAACGGGUGAGUAACGCGUGGGGAAUCUGCCUUUGAGCGGGGGACAACAUUUGGAAACGAAUGCUAAUACCGCAUAAAAACUUUAAACACAAGUUUUAAGUUUGAAAGAUGCAAUUGCAUCACUCAAAGAUGAUCCCGCGUUGUAUUAGCUAGUUGGUGAGGUAAAGGCUCACCAAGGCGAUGAUACAUAGCCGACCUGAGAGGGUGAUCGGCCAAAUUGGGACUGGGACACGGCCCAAAAUCCUACGGGGAGCAGCAGUAGGGAAUCUUCGGCAAUGGACGAAAGUCUGACCGGGCAACGCCGCGUGAGUGAAGAAGGGUUUCGGAUCGUAAAACUCUGUUGGUAGAGAAGAAAGUUGGUGAGAGUGGAAAGCUCAUCAAGUGACGGUAACUACCCAGAAGGGGACGGCUAACUACGUG
This 497-nucleotide ribosomal RNA is filed under the name uncultured bacterium. Its description in RNAcentral is "partial 16S ribosomal RNA". It matches the Rfam family "Bacterial small subunit ribosomal RNA", at positions 28 to 507 of the family's 1533-position model. The record is from RNAcentral.